This 352-nucleotide unclassified non-coding RNA is filed under the name soil metagenome. RNAcentral describes it as "partial contains 5.8S ribosomal RNA, internal transcribed spacer 2, and large subunit ribosomal RNA". The stretch from base 1 to 120 matches the Rfam family "5.8S ribosomal RNA", at positions 35 to 154 of the family's 154-position model. The record is from RNAcentral.
GAUGAAGAACGCAGUGAAAUGCGAUAAGUAAUGUGAAUUGCAGAAUUCAGUGAAUCAUCGAAUCUUUGAACGCACAUUGCGCCCGCCAGUAUUCUGGCGGGCAUGCCUGUUCGAGCGUCAUUACAACCCUCAGGCCCCCGGGCCUGGCGUUGGGGAUCGGCGAGGCGCCCCCCGCGGGCACGCGCCGUCCCCCAAAUACAGUGGCGGUCCCGCCGCAGCUUCCAUUGCGUAGUAGCUAACACCUCGCAACUGGAGAGCGGCGCGGCCAUGCCGUAAAACACCCAACUUCUGAAUGUUGACCUCGAAUCAGGUAGGAAUACCCGCUGAACUUAAGCAUAUCAUAAGCGGAGGA